CCCCCAGACUCCUACGGGAGGCAGCAGUGGGGAAUAUUGCACAAUGGGGGAAACCCUGAUGCAGCAACGCCGCGUGAGUGAAGAAGUAUCUCGGUAUGUAAAGCUCUAUCAGCAGGGAAGAAGAUGACGGUACCUGAGUAAGAAGCCCCGGCUAACUACGUGCCAGCAGCCGCGGUAAUACGUAGGGGGCAAGCGUUAUCCGGAUUUACUGGGUGUAAAGGGAGCGUAGACGGCCAGGCAAGUCUGGAGUGAAAGCCCGGGGCUCAACCCCGGGACUGCUUUGGAAACUGCCAGGCUGGAGUGCUGGAGAGGCAAGCGGAAUUCCUAGUGUAGCGGUGAAAUGCGUAGAUAUUAGGAGGAACACCAGUGGCGAAGGCGGCCUACUGGACGGUGACUGACGCUGAGGCUCGAAAGCGUGGGGAGCAAACAGGAUUAGAUACCCCCGUACA
This 449-nucleotide ribosomal RNA is filed under the name uncultured bacterium. RNAcentral's name for it is "partial 16S ribosomal RNA". It matches the Rfam family "Bacterial small subunit ribosomal RNA", at positions 328 to 794 of the family's 1533-position model. The record is from RNAcentral.